CUGCCGUUGUUGUUGUGAGAAGUUCAUUAAACCUUAUCAUUUAGAGGAAGGAGAAGUCGUAACAAGGUUUCCGUAGGUGAACCUGCGGAAGGAUCAUUGAACACACGAUCUCGGAAAAACCCUGCGAACUGUUGUUUGUACCACGAGGGAUCGUGCCCGGAGGCACGAUUGUCGGUGUCGGAGUCGGGAUUCAUGUGCGUCAGCCGUGAUCCUCCCCGCUGGUGCGUGGCGGGACUAACAAGUGACUCGGGCUUGCACCGUCGGAUCGUCCCCCGACACGCGUGGUUUCGAGUCUCAGGACUCGGAGUCGGGAGUGCGUCCCCUCCUCCGCUAGGAGGAGAGAGCUCCGAGGGAUACGAACCUGCUCUCCCCCGUGGAGGGGCACGGUUAGUUCCGAUCGGAGCGCCCUCUUCCUUUCGGGGCCCUUUUUCACCCCCAAACCGGGAACCCUGGUAAAACCAACGUUGAUUGGACUGAGGAGAAUCCGGGGUCGUCACGGCGACUCCGGGUUCCCAGGAUAGCUAAACGCAAUGACUCUCAGCAACGGAUAUCUUGGCUCUUGCAACGAUGAAGAACGCAGCGAAAUGCGAUACCUAGUGUGAAUUGCAGAAUUCCGUGAAUCAUCGAGUUUUUGAACGCAAGUUGCGCCCGAGGCUCGUCCGAGGGCAUGCCUGCCUGAGCGUCCGCUCCGACCCACCCACGAGCCCUUCCUCUUUCCUUUCGGGGAGGGGACGGGACAGAGUGCGAGUGGAACUGGUCGUCCGGGAACCUGCCCGUCUCGCAACGAGACGGACGGAGGAUUCGCGGUUGGCUGAAAAACGGGUGCCGUUCGUCAAGCGCGCGUUGGGGACAGCGGUGCGUCGCGAGAAGGUGCCGUCCUUUCGGACGUUGGUAACGAAAGCGUCGCAUCCUCCCCAGCGGAGUCGGGACUUGGCGGACAGGUGAGACAUGGGAACGUGAGGACUCGGGCAUUGCCCCUCGCGGUCUUGUCUCUCGCAAGAGAGACAGUCGCGAGGGGAACGUGUGCGAGUUCGAGCGAGACGUUGCUCGGACCUCAGAUCAGGCAAGACCACCCGCUGAGUUUAAGCAUAUCACUAAGCGGAGGAAAAGAAACUAACAAGG
RNAcentral lists this ribosomal RNA (1122 nucleotides) under Otolejeunea moniliata. Its description in RNAcentral is "eukaryotic LSU rRNA". The stretch from base 533 to 685 matches the Rfam family "5.8S ribosomal RNA". The record is from RNAcentral. Lineage: Eukaryota; Viridiplantae; Streptophyta; Jungermanniopsida; Porellales; Lejeuneaceae.